RNAcentral lists this ribosomal RNA (253 nucleotides) under uncultured prokaryote. Its description in RNAcentral is "partial 16S ribosomal RNA". It matches the Rfam family "Bacterial small subunit ribosomal RNA", at positions 525 to 777 of the family's 1533-position model. The record is from RNAcentral.
ACGUAGGGGGCUAGCGUUGUCCGGAAUCAUUGGGCGUAAAGCGCGUGUAGGCGGUCCGGUAAGUCCGCUGUGAAAGUCGGGGGCUCAACCCUCGGAUGCCGGUGGAUACUGUCGGGCUUGAGUACGGAAGAGGCGAGUGGAAUUCCUGGUGUAGCGGUGAAAUGCGUAGAUAUCAGGAGGAACACCGGUGGUGUAGACGGCUUUCUGGACCGACACUGACGCUGAGACACGAAAGCGUGGGUAGCAAACAGGA